This 347-nucleotide RNase P RNA is filed under the name pig gut metagenome. RNAcentral describes it as "Bacterial RNase P class A". It matches the Rfam family "Bacterial RNase P class A". Rfam says of the family: Ribonuclease P (RNase P) is a ubiquitous endoribonuclease, found in archaea, bacteria and eukarya as well as chloroplasts and mitochondria. Its best characterised activity is the generation of mature 5'-ends of tRNAs by cleaving the 5'-leader elements of precursor-tRNAs. The record is from RNAcentral.
GGUUUGUCGCGUGCGACUUUGGUCGUAUGAGGAAAGUCCGGGCAACACAGAGCACCAUACUUCUUAACGGGAAGUGGGCUGCGAGGUUCAAUAAGCGUUACAGAAAGCAGACCGCCGCAAUUUCGGUUGCGGCAAGGGUGAAACAGGCGAGGUAAGAGCUCACCGUUUCGGUGGCGACAUCGAAAGCUACGGCGCAUUAUGGGUUGAAAGACCAAGUAAACCGGCGUUACGAGGGUUGCUCGCCCCAGUCGGAGGGUAGGUCGAUAGAGACAAGUGGCGACAUUUGUUCGAGAUAAAUGACAAACACCUGCGUGCAGGUACAGAACCCGGCUUAUAGUUUUGCUGUU